GACUAGAGUAGGGCGGGACACGUGAAAUCCUGUCUGAACAUGGGGGGACCACCCUCCAAGCCUAAAUACUCGUACAUGACCGAUAGCGAACUAAGUACCGUGAGGGAAAGGUGAAAAGAACCCUAAGUAAGGGAGUGAAAGAGAACCUGAAACCGUACGCCUACAAGCGGUCGGAGCACAUUUACUGUGUGACGGCGUGCCUUUUGCAUAAUGAGCCUACGAGUUACUGUUUCUAGCAAGGUUAAGUGUUUAAGACAUGGAGCCGUAGCGAAAGCGAGUCUGAAUAGGGCGUUUAGUUCGUUUGAGUAGACCCGAAACCGGGUGAUCUAGUCAUGCCCAGGGUGAAGGUCAGGUAACACUGACUGGAGGCCCGAACCCA
Molecule: ribosomal RNA, 379 nt
Filed under: Oxyrrhis marina
Lineage: Eukaryota; Dinophyceae; Oxyrrhinales; Oxyrrhinaceae
Description: partial Bacterial large subunit ribosomal RNA
Rfam family: Bacterial large subunit ribosomal RNA
Source: RNAcentral